UAUUAUUUAAUGGAGUAAUUCUUUUCUAGUUUUUCAAAGGCAGUGCUACUUUAGGAAGGGAAAAAGCAAAGAAACGCCAAUUCUUUAUACAAAUUUUUAAAUGUUUCUUGUUUAAAGGAAAAAAAAUUAUUGAUUAUGUAACGUCCCAAAGUUGUUUAAAAAAAAAAAAAGGAGGAAAAUAUUGGUUAUUUUUAAGAAGAGGAAAGUAGGGUUUUUAAUAGGCCUUGGAUACGUGCAAAUAGGACAAAAAAAAAAGUUUUUUUUUUCUCUUUUCCUUCUUCUUCUUCCUCCAGCCGCCCCCUGCUACUGUCGUCCGUUCGGCCUUGCUCCUCCGUGCCAGCCCUUCGUCGGUCGUCUCUCCGUGCGUCGACAGGGUGCAUAGCCAAAGCCGCUCGCCUCCUCUUCCGAUCCGCCCGCCGCUUGACCCGACGUAGCCGUCCGUCCCAGCCGCGCGAGCCCCUCCUUUCGCGCCGCCUGCUUCCGUUCCACGCGAGUCCCAGCUGCACCGAGCUUCUCUUCCGUGCCGCAGGCUUCUGUUCCGCGCCGAGCUUCUCGUCCGCGCGAGUCCUAGCUGCGUCGAGCUUCUCUUCCACGUUAUUGUUCGUCCGCCGCACGUCGAUAGUCGAAGCCCAACGCGCGUCAGAGCUCACCUCGUUCGUUUGCACACCAGAACAGUGUCGGUUGUUACCGAUUCGCGGUUGGUUUCGCCUGAUCCUACUGUUCGGGAAGGUGUGUCUGAAGGGAGUUCUCGAGUAGAGUAAGGUCUUGUUUUGGGACAGUGAGGUAGCUGGUUGCCCUAGGAUGUUGUUAGGCCUGUUGAGAAAUAUUUUUUUUUCAUAUGUGAAACUGUGAUGAAAUCUUUUAUGCUGAAUUUGACGUGUUAAAUUUGAAGUA
Molecule: long non-coding RNA, 894 nt
Organism: Benincasa hispida (wax gourd)
Lineage: Eukaryota; Viridiplantae; Streptophyta; Magnoliopsida; Cucurbitales; Cucurbitaceae
Source: RefSeq, a predicted model, not a curated record